GUCUGCAAUUAUAAGUACAGAAGAUUGCGUUAAUACUAAGCGAUAACAAUCAAGCAGAAAUAUUUUCUAUCGAUAGAUUCUCGUAACGCGCGUGUAAGCGUAAUUCGUAUUUUUAUAUCAUCACGAUGACUUUUUUCGUUAAUGUUCGUUUUCCAAACGAAGCUCGCGUGAAUCGAGCCAAAUUUCUAAUUAUACCUAAUUACGUUACGCUAAUAGGUUAAACUUUAAAUAAAAAUAACAGUAACUGUACUCAAAGCAUGGUGCAAAAGAGAAAGAGAAGGUUUGCAUAGUAAGUUAAUUUUACGAACACGAUAAAGAUGAGAAUAGUUUGUGGAAAGUAAAAGGCACGAAUCAUCGCUCGUUAAUGCUACGAUAUUUUCUGACCUGAAAUGAUACGCACAGAUUCAUCUUAGUUUCUCAUCCGAAUUAUUACAUUUCUAUAGGUAUAAGAUUAUAAAAAUAUGUUCUCUACGAGCAUCGAAUAAAUUUGCGAAAAUGAUAUAUAUGGUGGUGGUUGGUAACUGGUGGUGCAAGCGAAAAGGGGAUGAUUCUACGCGAAAAAACAAGUCGAAAAUAUAGAAUAACAAUUUUUCGUCCGAGGCUUUGUUUUCGAGAAAAUCGACUUUGAAUUUUCGCUCGGUACGCGUGCUGUACGUUACAACGGAUCUCGCUGUAGAUCGUUGUCUCGAUGGAAAAAUUAAAAAAAAAAAAUUAAGCUAUCGAAAAUAUAGAAUAAAAAUUUUUUUUUUAAUUUUUU
Bombus huntii is the source of this 757-nucleotide long non-coding RNA. RefSeq lists it as uncharacterized. NCBI's taxonomy places the organism in Eukaryota, Metazoa, Arthropoda, Insecta, Hymenoptera, Apidae. The record is from RefSeq and is a predicted model, not a curated record. The transcript has 2 exons.